AGCGAACGUUUGCGGCGGGCUUAACACAUGCAAGUCGAACGGGCUGUUCCUUCGGGGCAGUCAGUGGCGCACGGGUGCGUAACACGUAGGUAAUCAACCCUCUGGUUGGGGAUAACACUUCGAAAGGAGUGCUAAUACCCGGUAUGGCGCAGCGGUCUUCGGAUCGCGGCGAGAAAGACCCGCAAGGGUUGCCAGAGGACGAGCCUGCGGCCCAUCAGCUAGUUGGCGAGGUAACGGCUCACCAAGGCGGAAGACGGGUAGCUGGUCUGAGAGGAUGAUCAGCCACACUGGAACUGAGACACGGUCCAGACUCCUACGGGAGGCAGCAGUGGGGAAGU
This 338-nucleotide ribosomal RNA is filed under the name uncultured bacterium. Its description in RNAcentral is "bacterial SSU rRNA". It matches the Rfam family "Bacterial small subunit ribosomal RNA", at positions 29 to 363 of the family's 1533-position model. The record is from RNAcentral.